Non-coding RNA from Lolium perenne, 578 nucleotides. The record is from RefSeq and is a predicted model, not a curated record. NCBI's taxonomy places the organism in Eukaryota, Viridiplantae, Streptophyta, Magnoliopsida, Poales, Poaceae.
GAACAAUUACAGGUGUACCUCCAAGUGCACCUGCCGAGGAUGUGAGAAUAGACCUGCGGCUAAAGGGAAAGAGGCUAAGGACCCAGACACGGGCUCUGUCAUGAACGAACUACCAGAAGAGGCUAAGGAGCCGGCGCAGAAGGAAGAACAAUCCAAAGAACCUCGGGAGAACAGGGGCCCCGGCAGGAUAAAACGACCACGAAACAAGAAAUGAUGACAGUCGUCAGUUCAGUCACCUUUUGUGUAGUGAUGAUCAUAGUCUUCAGUUCAGAGGAUGUCACCUUCAGUGCACUGAUGAUGUCAGCAGUGGUCUUCAGUUCAAAGCAUGCCGCCUUACCACCCUGAACACGCCGUCCAUUCUCUGUUCAAAUAUGCCACUUCCUGUCAUUUGAAUAUGGGAUUGUAAAAAUGAAUUGGUUCUCGUCUCCUUGAAACGAUAGUUCGGACCUUGGCGAGCCACGGCGAUGACAGUUAGCUUCAGGUGGAUCUAAACUUUGAUCAAACUGAUGUAGCUUCAGCGGCUUCAGUUGACCCAGUUCUUGAUAAAAACUGAUAUAGUAUAUAGUUCAGAACAUAUA